RNAcentral lists this ribosomal RNA (497 nucleotides) under uncultured bacterium. RNAcentral's name for it is "partial 16S ribosomal RNA". It matches the Rfam family "Bacterial small subunit ribosomal RNA", at positions 28 to 507 of the family's 1533-position model. The record is from RNAcentral.
GAUGAACGCUGGCGGCGUGCCUAAUACAUGCAAGUCGAGCGAACAGAUGAGGAGCUUGCUCCUCUGACGUUAGCGGCGGACGGGUGAGUAACACGUGGAUAACCUACCUAUAAGAGUGGGAUAACUUCGGGAAACGGGAGCUAAUACCGGAUAAUAUCUUGAACCGCAUGGUUCAAUAGUGAAAGACGGUUUUGCGGUAACUUAUAGAUGGAUCCGGGCCGGUUUGGCUGGUUGGUAAGGGAAGGGCUUGCCAAGGGAACGAGGCGUAGCCGACCUGAGAGGGGGAUCGGCCACACUGGAACUGGGACACGGUCCAGACGCCUACGGGAGGCAGCAGAAGGGAAUCUUCCGCAAUGGGCGAAAGCCUGACGGAGCAAGGCCGCGUGAGUGAUGAAGGUCUUCGGAUCGUAAAACUCGGUUAUUAGGGAAGAACAAAUGUGGAAGUAAAUAUGCACGUCUUGACGGUACCUAAUCAGAAAGCCACGGCUAACUACGUG